GAUGAAGAACGUAGCGAAAUGCGAUAAGUAAUGCGAAUUGCAGAAUUCAGUGAGUCAUCGAAUCUUUGAACGCACAUUGCGCCCGGUGGUAUUCCGCAGGGCAUGCCUGUUCGAGCGUCAUUUCACCACUCAAGCCUGGCUUGGUGUUGGGCGACGUCCUCUUUGGGGACGCGCCUCGAAACGCUCGGCGGCGUGGCACCGGCUUUAAGCGUAGCAGAAUCUUUCGCUUUGGAAGUCGGGGCCCCGUCUGCCGGAAGACCUGCUCGCAAGGUUGACCUCGGAUCAGGCAGGGAUACCCGCUGAACUUAAGCAUAUCAAUAAGCGGAGGA
Molecule: unclassified non-coding RNA, 329 nt
Filed under: soil metagenome
Description: partial contains 5.8S ribosomal RNA, internal transcribed spacer 2, and large subunit ribosomal RNA
Rfam family: 5.8S ribosomal RNA (bases 1-120)
Source: RNAcentral